AGCCAAUAGAUACCCCGGUAGUCCACGCCCUAAACGAUGUCUACUAGUUGUUGGUGGAGUAAAAUCCAUGAGUAAACGCAGCUAAACGCGUGAAGUAGACCGCCUGGGGAGUACGGUCGCAAGAUUAAAAACUCAAAGGAAUUGACGGGGGCCCGCACAAGCGGUGGAUUAUGUGGAUUAAAUUCGAUGCAACGCGAAAAACCUUACCUGGCCUUGACAUGCCACUAACGAAGCAGAGAUGCAUUAGGUGCCCGUAAGGGAAAGUGGACACAGGUGCUGCAUGGCUGUCGUCAGCUCGUGUCGUGAGAUGUUGGGUUAAGUCCCGCAACGAGCGCAACCCUUGCCAUUAAUUGCCAUCAUUUAGUUGGGCACUUUAAUGGGACUGCCGGUGACAAACCGGAGGAAGGUGGGGAUGACGUCAAGUCCUCAUGGCCCUUAUGGCCAGGGCUUCACACGUAAUACAAUGGUCGGUACAGAGAGUUGCCAACCCGCGAGGGGAGCUAAUCUCAGAAAGCCGAUCGUAGUCCGGAUUGUUCU
Molecule: ribosomal RNA, 537 nt
Filed under: uncultured bacterium
Lineage: Bacteria
Description: bacterial SSU rRNA
Rfam family: Bacterial small subunit ribosomal RNA
Source: RNAcentral